RNAcentral lists this ribosomal RNA (613 nucleotides) under uncultured Bacteroidota bacterium. RNAcentral's name for it is "bacterial SSU rRNA". It matches the Rfam family "Bacterial small subunit ribosomal RNA", at positions 8 to 627 of the family's 1533-position model. Lineage: Bacteria; Pseudomonadati; Bacteroidota. The record is from RNAcentral.
AGAGUUUGUCCUGGCUCAGGAUGAACGCUAGCGGCAGGCCUAAUACAUGCAAGUCGAACGGUCAGUAGCAAUACUGAUAGUGGCGCACGGGUGCGUAACGCGUAACCAACCUACCCGAAUCUGGGGGAUAGCCCGCCGAAAGGCGGAUUAAUACCGCAUAAAACUGCAGGACGGCAUCGUGUAACAGUUAAAGAUUUAUUGGAUUCGGAUGGGGUUGCGUGCCAUUAGCUAGUUGGGGAGGUAACGGCUCACCAAGGCGACGAUGGCUAGGGGAGCUGAGAGGCUGGUCCCCCACACGGGCACUGAGAUACGGGCCCGACUCCUACGGGAGGCAGCAGUAGGGAAUAUUGGGCAAUGGCCGAGAGGCUGACCCAGCCAUGCCGCGUGCAGGAAGACAGCCCUAUGGGUCGUAAACUGCUUUUAUACCGGAAUAAACCCCUUUACGUGUAAAGGGUUGAAUGUACGGUAGGAAUAAGGAUCGGCUAACUCCGUGCCAGCAGCCGCGGUAAUACGGAGGAUCCAAGCGUUAUCCGGAUUUAUUGGGUUUAAAGGGUGCGUAGGCGGCCUGUUAAGUCAGGGGUGAAAUUUUCCGGCUCAACCGGGACAUUGCCUU